RNAcentral lists this ribosomal RNA (342 nucleotides) under uncultured bacterium. RNAcentral's name for it is "bacterial SSU rRNA". It matches the Rfam family "Bacterial small subunit ribosomal RNA", at positions 28 to 334 of the family's 1533-position model. The record is from RNAcentral.
GAUGAACGCCGGCGGUGUGCCUAAUACAUGCAAGUCGUACGCACUGGCCCAACUGAUUGAUGGUGCUUGCACCUGAUUGACGAUGGAUCACCAGUGAGUUGCGAACGGGGUGAGUAACGCGUAGGUAACCUACCUCAUAGCGGGGGAUAACUAUUGGAAACGAUAGCUAAUACCGCAUGACAAUAGGGUACACAUGUACCCUAUUUAAAAGGGGCAAAUGCUUCACUAUGAGAUGGACCUGCGUUGUAUUAGCUAGUUGGUAAGGUAACGGCUUACCAAGGCGACGAUACAUAGCCGACCUGAGAGGGUGAUCGGCCACACUGGGACUGAGACACGGCCCAG